UACGAAGGGGGCUAGCGUUGCUCGGAAUUACUGGGCGUAAAGCGCACGUAGGCGGUCUUUUAAGUCGGUGGUGAAAUCCUGGAGCUCAACUCCAGAACUGCCUUCGAUACUGGAAGACUUGAGUCCGGGAGAGGUGAGUGGAACUGCGAGUGUAGAGGUGAAAUUCGUAGAUAUUCGCAAGAACACUAGUGGCGAAGGCGGCUCACUGGCCCGGUACUGACGCUGAGGUGCGAAAGCGUGGGGAGCAAACAGG
RNAcentral lists this ribosomal RNA (253 nucleotides) under uncultured bacterium. Its description in RNAcentral is "partial 16S ribosomal RNA". It matches the Rfam family "Bacterial small subunit ribosomal RNA", at positions 524 to 776 of the family's 1533-position model. The record is from RNAcentral.